GGAGAGAUGGCUCAGUGGUUAAGAGCACUGGCUGCUCUUCCAGAGGACCUGGGUUCAGUUCCCAGCACCCCCA
This 73-nucleotide transfer RNA is filed under the name Neotoma lepida (desert woodrat). It matches the Rfam family "tRNA". From Rfam's summary of the family: Transfer RNA (tRNA) molecules are approximately 80 nucleotides in length. Their secondary structure includes four short double-helical elements and three loops (D, anti-codon, and T loops). Lineage: Eukaryota; Metazoa; Chordata; Mammalia; Rodentia; Cricetidae. The record is from Rfam by way of RNAcentral.